UCAUCUCAGAUCGGAGGUGCUGAAGUAUGAAAAAGCCUGACAAGUUAACGAUGGCCAGACUUGUAAGAAAAGUUUUCAUCAGAGAUGGCUCCGAUGGGGACCCUCCGACACUCAAGUUAGAUUUCUUGCAACAAAAAGGAAAGAGCGAGUAUUUUUGAGAGGGAAAGGAGGAGUAUCUUAGGAUCCCUAUUUUACCUCUAUUUAUAGUGGG
RNAcentral lists this long non-coding RNA (211 nucleotides) under Elaeis guineensis (African oil palm). RNAcentral describes it as "long non-coding RNA (EGUI_LNC020847)". The record is from RNAcentral. Lineage: Eukaryota; Viridiplantae; Streptophyta; Magnoliopsida; Arecales; Arecaceae.